GACUGAACUCAGCAGAGAGUGAUUGAUUGACUAAGAUCCUUAUUAGUUCCCAGCAGGUGGGUUCUCACGGAGAAAACCCAUGCUGGUCAUCAGCACUCAGAGGCCAAAUUGCAAGUUCUCUGCUGGGUGACCAGAGAACAUGAGCCAGGGCAACUGGAUGUUCUUUCAGAGAAUUACUUUCCAGCUCCAGUUGCUUGAUGAAUUACCUUUCUCCACUGGAGGGAUAUUUUAGUCUGAAAAAUCAGGACAGGUCAUCUGAAGUCAGAUCACGCUCUCUUCAGGCAGUGAUAGAGGAAAUCUUUCAAAGUCUUAGUCUCCUGUGUUCCUUUCUCAAUAUUCCUUAUCCAUUGCCUUAUCUUCCAAAAGCCAUUGCCAUUAUGUGAUCUCAUGUUACAACUUCCCAGAUUACCACUUGUUCUACAUUAGCUACAUUUGUGACAGAGACUUCCCAGAAUACGGGCAAGGAGAACCAUCUUCCAAUCACAAUGACUUAUGGCUUACGGCUCCAAGCCAUCAUGUUUUCAUUCUUGUAGCUUCAGUUUCCCAGAAUGGCAUUGCUUAACCUUGUUCUCCAAAGGAGGCAGCUAGAAGGUAAUGGAAAGAGACCGGACACCAAAACUGGAAGAACUGGAGGAGCUGAUCAUCCCUAUCUCCGAGUCACUUCCGCAACCUAUACAAUCCACCAUUGUGCUGAAGGGAGCCUGGGCUCCCCCUCCUAUUUCACACCCUCUCUGCCCUGCUGGACAAUAAGCGAAACCAAAGUAGCAACCAUGCUCUGAUCAUCAGUGAUCUCCACACCCAGCACAGCCCUAGCCCAUAUCAGAGGCUUCAUUAUUGAGUGAAUGAAUGAAGCAAUGAAGGAAGAGGAGGAAAGAAAUACUCAGUGAAUUCUACGUCAACUGAAGUCAACUCCUGCAGAACCCAACCAAGGACACCAAGAGAAAAGAGAUCAGAAGCAGGGUACAGGAAUUCCCAUCGUGGCUCAGUGGUUAAUGAACCCAACUAGUAUCCAUGAGGAUGUGGGUUCGAUCCCUGGCCUCAAUCAGUUGGUUAAGGAUCCGGCGUUGCUGUGAGCUGUAGUGUAGAUCACAGGCUCAGAUCAGAUCCCUCGUUGAUGUGGCUGUGGUGUAGGCCUGCAGCUACAGCUCCAAUUUGACCCCUAGCCUGGGAUACAUGCCUCCAGUGUGGCCCUAAAAAGACAGAGAAAAAAAAAAAGGCAAAUAAUGUGUCAGUACCGAGCCUCAUGAAAGUGUUUCAGAGAAAUCCCCACCCCACACCCAGGGUUUCUGGAACCACACUUUGAGAACUGCUGAAUUAAGAUAUAGAUCAUGUGGGAGUUCCUGCUGUGGCACAGUGGGUUAAGAA
Molecule: long non-coding RNA, 1365 nt
Filed under: Sus scrofa (pig)
Lineage: Eukaryota; Metazoa; Chordata; Mammalia; Artiodactyla; Suidae
Description: lncRNA (ENSSSCG00015026295.1)
Source: RNAcentral